GACGAACGCUGGCGGCGUGCCUAAUACAUGCAAGUUGAGCGCUGAAGGUUGGUACUUGUACCAACUGGAUGAGCAGCGAACGGGUGAGUAACGCGUGGGGAAUCUGCCUUUGAGCGGGGGACAACAUUUGGAAACGAAUGCUAAUACCGCAUAAAAACUUUAAACACAAGUUUUAAGUUUGAAAGAUGCAAUUGCAUCACUCAAAGAUGAUCCCGCGUUGUAUUAGCUAGUUGGUGAGGUAAAGGCUCACCAAGGCGAUGGUACAUAGCCGACCUGAGAGGGUGAUCGGCCACAUUGGGACUGAGACACGGCCCAAACUCCUACGGGGGGCAGCAGUAGGGAAUCUUCGGCAAUGGACGAAAGUCUGACCGAGCAACGCCGCGUGAGUGAAGAAGGGUUUCGGAUCGUAAAACUCUGUUGGUAGAGAAGAACGUUGGUGAGAGUGGAAAGCUCAUCAAGUGACGGUAACUACCCAGAAAGGGACGGCUAACUACGUG
Molecule: ribosomal RNA, 497 nt
Filed under: uncultured bacterium
Lineage: Bacteria
Description: partial 16S ribosomal RNA
Rfam family: Bacterial small subunit ribosomal RNA
Source: RNAcentral